UGGGUUGUGGCUUCGUGGUAGAGCGCUUGCCUAGCAAGUAUGAGGCACUGAGUUCAGUUCUCAGCCAUAUAU
Molecule: transfer RNA, 72 nt
Filed under: Marmota marmota marmota (Alpine marmot)
Lineage: Eukaryota; Metazoa; Chordata; Mammalia; Rodentia; Sciuridae
Also listed under: 1 other name
Rfam family: tRNA
About the family: Transfer RNA (tRNA) molecules are approximately 80 nucleotides in length. Their secondary structure includes four short double-helical elements and three loops (D, anti-codon, and T loops). Further hydrogen bonds mediate the characteristic L-shaped molecular structure. tRNAs have two regions of fundamental functional importance: the anti-codon, which is responsible for specific mRNA codon recognition, and the 3' end, to which the tRNAs corresponding amino acid is attached (by aminoacyl-tRNA synthetases). tRNAs cope with the degeneracy of the genetic code in two manners: having more than one tRNA (with a specific anti-codon) for a particular amino acid; and 'wobble' base-pairing, i.e. permitting non-standard base-pairing at the 3rd anti-codon position.
Source: Rfam by way of RNAcentral